RNAcentral lists this ribosomal RNA (372 nucleotides) under uncultured bacterium. RNAcentral's name for it is "bacterial SSU rRNA". It matches the Rfam family "Bacterial small subunit ribosomal RNA", at positions 526 to 896 of the family's 1533-position model. The record is from RNAcentral.
AGGAGGGUGCUAGCGUUAAUCGGAUUUACGAGGGCGUAAAGCGUGCGUAGGUGGUUGGGUAAGUCGGAUGUGAAAGCCCUGGGCUUAACCUGGGAAUUGCAUUCGAUACUGCUCGACUCGAAUUCGGUAGAGGGAGGCGGAACUCCAGGUGUAGCGGUGAAAUGCGUAGAUAUCUGGAAGAACACCGAUGGCGAAGGCAACCUCCUGGGCCUGAAUUGACACUGAGGCACGAAAGCGUGGGUAGCAAACAGGAUUAGAUACCCUGGUAGUCCACGCCGUAAACGAUGAGAACUUGACGUUGGUUUGCCUAGCAAAUCGGUGUCGUAGCUAACGCGAUAAGUUCUCCGCCUGGGGAGUACGGCCGCAAGGUUG